RNAcentral lists this ribosomal RNA (422 nucleotides) under uncultured eukaryote. RNAcentral's name for it is "bacterial SSU rRNA". It matches the Rfam family "Eukaryotic small subunit ribosomal RNA", at positions 592 to 1018 of the family's 1831-position model. The record is from RNAcentral.
CAAUAGCGUAUAUUAAAGUUGUUGCGGUUAAAAAGCUCGUAGUUGGAUUUCUGCUGAGGACGACCGGUCCGCCCUCCGGGUGAGCAUCUGGUUCGGCCUUGGCAUCUUCUUGGUGAACGUUGCUGCACUUGAUUGUGUGGUGCGGUACCCAGGACUUUUACUUUGAGGAAAUUAGAGUGUUUCAAGCAGGCAUAUGCCUUGAAUACAUUAGCAUGGAAUAAUGGAAUAGGACCCUGGUUCUAUUUUGUUGGUUUUGAGAACCAGAGUAAUGAUUAAUAGGGAUAGUUGGGGGCAUUCAUAUUUCAUUGUCAGAGGUGAAAUUCUUGGAUUUAUGAAAGAUGAACUUCUGCGAAAGCAUUUGCCAAGGAUGUUUUCAUUGAUCAAGAACGAAAGUAUGGGGAUCGAAGACGAUUAGAUACCAU